AUGUCUUUGAUCUGCGUCCUCAUCUGGACUCUCCUCUGCUUCACUCAGGGAUCUGAUGGACAAAAUAUUGUUGUGACUCAAUCAGCAGCCAGAUCAGUGCAGCUCGGUCAGACGGUCACUAUUGACUGUAAGGCCAGUAGACAAGUAGCUUGUAGCCCAUACUGUCUGUCCUGGUACCAUCAGAAACCUGGAGAAGCUCCUAAACCUCUGAUCUACUACACAUCAUCCAGAUUUUCAGGAAUCUCCUCCAGAUUCAGUGGAAGUGGAAAAGGAAAUGGAUUAGACUUCACUCUGACCAUCAGUGGAGUUCAGGCUGAAGAUGCAGGAGUUUAUUACUGUAUGAGUGCUCACUCCAUCAACAGUCAGUGGAUGUUCACACAGUGA
Molecule: non-coding RNA, 384 nt
Organism: Poeciliopsis prolifica (blackstripe livebearer)
Lineage: Eukaryota; Metazoa; Chordata; Actinopteri; Cyprinodontiformes; Poeciliidae
Source: the annotation of a RefSeq genome assembly